RNAcentral lists this ribosomal RNA (394 nucleotides) under uncultured bacterium. RNAcentral describes it as "partial 16S ribosomal RNA". It matches the Rfam family "Bacterial small subunit ribosomal RNA", at positions 523 to 918 of the family's 1533-position model. The record is from RNAcentral.
ACACGUAGGGGGCGAGCGUUGUUCGGAAUCAUUGGGCGUAAAGGGCGUGCAGGCGGUCCUGCAAGUCCGGCGUGAAAGACCCCGGCCCAACCGGGGGGACGCGCUGGAAACUGCAGGGCUUGAGUACAGGAGGGGAUGCCGGAAUUCCAGGUGUAGGGGUGAAAUCUGUAGAUAUCUGGAAGAACACCAAUGGCGAAGGCAGGCAUCUGGCCAUGUACUGACGCUGAGACGCGAAGGUGCGGGGAGCAAACAGGUUUAGAGUCCCUGGUAGUCCGCACAGUAAACGAUGUGCACCAGGUGGCGGGGGGUCGACCCCCGGUACCGUAGCUAACGCAUUAAGUGCACCGCCUGGGGAGUAUGCUCGCAAGGGUGAAACUCAAAGGAAUUGACGGGG